This 463-nucleotide ribosomal RNA is filed under the name uncultured bacterium. RNAcentral describes it as "partial 16S ribosomal RNA". It matches the Rfam family "Bacterial small subunit ribosomal RNA", at positions 28 to 507 of the family's 1533-position model. The record is from RNAcentral.
GAUGAACGCUGACAGAAUGCUUAACACAUGCAAGUCUUUGGCGAAGCUGUGCUUGCACAGCCUAGCCAAGGCGGACGGGUGAGUAACGCGUAAGGAACUUGCCCUGCAGUCAGGGAUAACAGACGGAAACGACUGAUAAGACCUGGUAAAGUCAGGCGGACUCAUGUCCAGCCUGAUGAAAAGAGAUGCUGCAGGAGAGCCUUGCGUCCUAUUAGCUUGUUGGUGGGGUAACGGCCCACCAAGGCGAUGAUAGGUAGCCGGCCUGGGAGGGUGGACGGCCACAAGGGGACUGAGAUACGGCCCUUACUCCUACGGGAGGCAGCAGUGGGGAAUAUUGGACAAUGGGGGCAACCCUGCUACAGCAAUUCUGUGUGCACGAUGAAGGUUUUCGGAUUGUAAAGUGCUUUCAGCAGGGAAGAAAAAAAUGACGGUACCUGCAGAAGAAGCGACGGCUAAAUACGUG